CAUUGACAAACUCAACUUCCCAGUCCGGUGGCAUUCCCAGUAACUCAGCCGGAAACACAUCCAGAUACUCGCAAACCGCCCGAAUAUUUCCCAAAUCCGGGUGCUCCUUUCAGGCGUCUAUGAUGGUCGCCAAAUAGGCCUUACAACCACCCUUAAUCAUUUUCCUUGCUCUCGCUGCUGACACGGUCGCCACGAAGCGCCUACUUUACACGCCCGGUAUACUAAUU
RNAcentral lists this long non-coding RNA (227 nucleotides) under Ananas comosus (pineapple). RNAcentral's name for it is "long non-coding RNA (ACOM_LNC042298)". The record is from RNAcentral. Lineage: Eukaryota; Viridiplantae; Streptophyta; Magnoliopsida; Poales; Bromeliaceae.